GAUAGCUCAGUCGGUAGAGCAAUCGGCUGUUAACCGAUCGGUCGGAUUCCCGGACGGGUCACCA
RNAcentral lists this transfer RNA (64 nucleotides) under Veillonella parvula. Its description in RNAcentral is "tRNA-Asn". The record is from RNAcentral. Lineage: Bacteria; Bacillati; Bacillota; Negativicutes; Veillonellales; Veillonellaceae.